Long non-coding RNA from Rosa chinensis, 372 nucleotides. RefSeq lists it as uncharacterized. The transcript is spliced from 3 exons. The record is from RefSeq and is a predicted model, not a curated record. Lineage: Eukaryota; Viridiplantae; Streptophyta; Magnoliopsida; Rosales; Rosaceae.
CAAUAGCUUCAUUGUUGAUAAUCAUUUUUUUUUAUAAGAUUGUGGAUUAUCAGUUGAUCCCACUGUUGUAGAAGAGCAUUGGUGGCAGUCAGCUAGGCUCUGCAAAUCAAGGUUUCUAGUUGAAUACAGCUGCUGGUACCAUGUCUCCCUUUGAACAUGGCGAGUUUUUUGUUCUUGAUGAUGGUGGAGAGGUAUUUUACCCUUCCUCUUUACAAAUAGGUGGUGAGAUGAACCUGGCUGCUGGCAUUCAGGUGGCUCAAUUGGCCCUCAAACAUCGCCAGAAUAAGAAGCAGCAACAAAGGAUUAUAGUCUUUGCUGGAAGUGCUGUUAAACAUGAAAAGAAGACUUUGGAGAUGAUUGGAAGAGUAGUGU